UGGGGAAUUUUCCGCAAUGGGCGAAAGCCUGACGGAGCAAUACCGCGUGAGGGAGGAAGGCUUUUGGGUUGUAAACCUCUUUUCUUAAGGAAGAAGAUCUGACGGUACUUAAGGAAUCAGCAUCGGCUAACUCCGUGCCAGCAGCCGCGGUAAUACGAAGGGGGCUAGCGUUGUUCGGAAUUACUGGGCGUAAAGCGCGCGUAGGCGGGUCAUUAAGUCAGGGGUGAAAUCCCGGGGCUCAACCUCGGAAUUGCCUCUGAUACUGGUGGCCUUGAGUCCGUGAGAGGUGAGUGGAACUCCGAGUGUAGAGGUGAAAUUCGUAGAUAUUCGGAAGAACACCAGUGGCGAAGGCGGCUCACUGGCACGGUACUGACGCUGAGGUGCGAAAGCGUGGGGAGCAAACAGGAUUUGAUACCCCCGUAGUCC
Molecule: ribosomal RNA, 426 nt
Filed under: uncultured prokaryote
Description: bacterial SSU rRNA
Rfam family: Bacterial small subunit ribosomal RNA
Source: RNAcentral